UCCGGCGUAGUCCAGUGGUUAGGAUACCUGGCUUUCACCCAGGAGACCCGGGUUCGAAUCCCGGCGUCGGAA
RNAcentral lists this transfer RNA (72 nucleotides) under Rhipicephalus microplus (southern cattle tick). Its description in RNAcentral is "tRNA-Glu". It matches the Rfam family "tRNA". Rfam says of the family: Transfer RNA (tRNA) molecules are approximately 80 nucleotides in length. Their secondary structure includes four short double-helical elements and three loops (D, anti-codon, and T loops). The record is from Rfam by way of RNAcentral. Lineage: Eukaryota; Metazoa; Arthropoda; Arachnida; Ixodida; Ixodidae.